Molecule: RNA transcript, 3872 nt
Organism: Olea europaea var. sylvestris
Lineage: Eukaryota; Viridiplantae; Streptophyta; Magnoliopsida; Lamiales; Oleaceae
Gene name: putative pentatricopeptide repeat-containing protein At1g13630
Exons: 12
Source: RefSeq, a predicted model, not a curated record
GCUGAGAGCCAUUGCAUUUGCAAAACCCUUCUACCUAGACAGCCACUGGGCGUCAGUCUGGGCGAAAAUCAGACGCAUUUACUGCUCCAAUCUCCUGGCUUCGUCGGACCGUCACCCGCCUCCACCAGUCUGACCAUGGCGCGACCGCUUCAUUCUUCAAAUUUCAAACCCUAACCCAAAGAUUUACUUUGGGAUUCACCAAAAAUUCAAAAUAGGGGCAGCGUUAUUAGGCAACUGUAUUUUGGAUGGGAGGAGUUAUUCUUAAGUACCUUUUGGCAGCCUCAACCACUAGCGGCACAGCAAUUGGCCCACUCUCUGCAAUUAUAUUCACAUUCUUUCCUAUCGCUCCCUCCUUGAACACCUACAGCAAGACUGAACUAAUCAUCAUUAUCAAAUAAUUUCAGUGAUUAAUAUUGGCACAUUACCAAAACAAGAAUUGUUAAGAAAAGUUAUGAUGGCAGUUAUUGCUAUACAUAAGUCGAUGGCGCCGUUAAUGACUGGUGGAGGCAAUGGCAGUGCUAGGGUAGUGCAAGCUGCAUGUCGUAUUGGCGAAGCCAUUGAGCAAGAGGCCAGAAUACUCAGGUUUAUAGAGAAGACCAAGAGGAAGAAUGCAGUAAAUAAAAGUUCUGAACAACCUGAUCCUGCAGUGAAGGAACAGGAGAGACUAAGAAAGAAGGUCAAUAUUUUCAUGAAGAAACAGGAAUUGCACCAAGUUAGGAAAAUAGUGAAACAACAAGAUGAUUUCAAGCCCUGGGGCCACGAUGCUCAAGUAAAGAACGAGCUAGGAGUGAAGCAUUUGCGGGUUUCGCAGUUUGUUAUUGCCCAUAUUUUGGCACGGAACCAGCGUCCCUGUGCGUUGCAGAGUCAUCUGCACCAAGUGCUUCUAGAAGACGGCUCUGGAUCUGCACCUUCACUCUGUGAGCUGCUUUGUAAUGCCUUCAGGGGCUGGGAUUCGAAUCAUAUGGUGUGGGAUAUGUUGGCUUUUGUUUAUUCUAGAUCCAACAUGGUACAUGAUGCCCUUUUUGUCCUUGCCAAGAUGAAGGAUUUGGAUAUCCAGCCUUCAAUUAUGACAUACAAUAGUUUAUUGCACAACUUGAAGAAUACUGAUAUCAUGUGGGAUGUAUACACUGAAAUUAAAGCCUGUGGGAUUCGUCCAAGUGAAUACACAAAUGCGAUUAUCCUAGAUGGUCUAUGCAGACAGUCCUUGAUACAUGAAGCAGUUUUAUUUCUGCAGGAGACUAAAGAAAAAGAGCCCCAGCCUUCUGUUGUUUUGUUUAAUACUUUGAUUUCCGGAUUCUGUAAGAUGGGUUUUGUAGAUAUUGCAAAAUCAUUCUUUUGUAUGAUGUUUAAGUAUGGAUUAUUUCCUGACGUUUAUAGUUACAAUAUUCUCAUUCAUGGACUAUGUAUGGUGGGUUCAAUAGAAGAAGCAUUAGACUUUACAAAUGACAUGGAGAAACAUGGAUUGGGGCCUGAUCAAGUAACUUUCAACAUUAUAGCCAAAGGGUUUCGUCUACUUGGUAUGAUGGAUGAUGCCGGGAAGGUUACUAAUGGGAUGCUACGUAGAGGAUUAAACAUUGAUCUUAUCACAUAUACAAUACUCAUUUGUAGGCAUUGGCACACGGGCAAUGUUGAAGAAGGUUUUAGGUUGCGAGAGGAGAUGCUUUCUAGGGGGCUUCAGCUUAGUAGUAUCUCAUAUAGUGUGUUGCUUAGCAGUUUGUGCAAGAAUGGACGUAUGGAUGAAGCUCUGAGAUUUCUUAGUGAGAUGGAAAAUGCUAGUUUAAUACCAGAUCACGUGAUGUAUUCUAUCAUCAUUAAUGGUCUUUGCAAGAUGGGAGAAGUACAAAAGGCUGUCCAGCUUUAUAAGGAGAUGUGUCCGAAGAAAAUCACCACAGAUUAUGUUCAAAAUCGAUCUACUCUAUCAAGACUAUGCGAGAAAGGGGGAGUAUUAGAGGCAAGAAGUUAUUUUGAUAAAGUGGCAAAUAGUAACUUGGUGGAGGAUAUUGUCUUGUACAACAUUAUGAUUAAUAAAUAUGCCAAACUUGGUAAUAUUGGAGAGGCAAUACGGUUAUAUAAAAUUGCAAUGUUGAAAGGUAUUAGUCCUACUAUAGUCACAUUCAAUUCCCUAAUAUAUGGGUUCUGCAAAACCGGGAAACUUGCUGAUGCUAGGAACUGGUUAAAUAACAUCAAGAUGCAGGGUUUGACGCCUACUGUUGUUACUUAUACUACCCUCAUGAAUGCAUUUUGUGAAGAGGGAAAUUUAGAUGCCACAUUUGAGUUGUUUGAGGAAAUGGAAGCAAGUUCUGUGCAUGCAAAUCGAGUAACUUACACUGUGGUUAUGAAAGGGCUAUGCAGGCAAGGGAAGCUGAAAGAAUCUAUCCAGGUUCUCAAGAAAAUGAUAGCUAUGGGUAUGUCUCCAGAUCAAACUUCUUAUAAUGCUCUCAUUCAGUGUUUUUGUAAAGCUCGGUACCUAGAAAGAGCAUUUGAAUUACAUAACAAGAUGUUACAACAUAAUCUUCAGCCUAAUUAUAUAACAUAUAACAUUCUCAUUAAUGGUUUAUGUGUUUAUGGAGACCUAAAGGAUGCUGAUGAACUCUUUUCUUCUCUCAAAGACCAAAAUGUCAGAUUGUCAAAAGUUGCCUAUAGUACUUUAAUAAAAGCACAUUGUGCGAAGGGUGAUGUUCGGAAGGCAAUGGUUCUCUUCAAUCAAAUGAACGACUUGGGGUUUGAAAUUUCUAUCAAAGAUUACAGCGCUGUGAUCAAUAGACUUUGCAAAAGAGAUUUAGUAGAUGAUGCAAAGCUUUUUCUUCGAGUGAUGUUAGUUGAUGGCAUUUCCCUAGACCGACAAAUUUGUUCGGUUAUGCUUCGUUCAUUAGACCAAAUUGGUGAUUUUAGUUCCAAAUUUCAAUUGUACGCAUUGAUGAUCAAAUGUGGCUUUUAUCCAGGUUGAAACCAUUGGAGUGAUAUUUUGUGAUUCUUAUUAUUGGUGGCUCUCAGUGUUGGUCUUAAUGCAGCGGAGAAUGUCUAACACUCAAGGCAAUGUUAUCGUUAAUUGUUCACACUACAGGCACAAACACCCUCGAGAGAGAUGAGGGAAGGGAAAAUGUCAGUGGGUACGCCGUUCUCCUCCACAGCCACCGACCAAUUAAAACAAAUUAAUGGUUAGUCAAUUGUUGGACUCAAUAGUUCAGAGUUCAUACAGCCACAAGGAGUUUUUCUUAGUGAGCUUGUGAGUAAUGCAAGUGAUGCUCUUGAUAAAUUGAGGUUUUUGAGUGUGACUGAGCCCGCCUUACUUGGAGGUGCUGGGAUACUGGUAUUGGAAUGACAAAAGAUGAGCUUAUAGACUGCCUUGGAACUAUUGCUCAGAGUGGCACUUCUAAAUUCUUAAAGGCUUUGAAGGGAAACAAGGACCUUGGGGGGAAGAUAAUGGCCUCAUUGGUUAAUUUGGUGUUGGAUAUUAUUCUUCAUUUUUGGUUGCUGAAAAGUGCAAAAAAAAGGUCCCAGAUCAGAUAAGCAAUAUGUUUGGGAAGCAAUGGCUGAUACCAGCUCCUACAUUAUUAGGGAGGAAACUGCUCCUGAAUAUUUACCACAUGUAGGAACACAAAUCACACUCUAUUCGAGUGUAUCUAUCCUUGUUUUUAAUCCAAAACUUGUUCCUUAAAUAUACAUCAUAUCUACACUUCCAUGUUGCAAACAUAGAGAUGUGUUCAUAGUUUCGAGUUAUGAAGUGGAAAUUGGGCAGAAACUCUAGUCAUACUCUGGCAGCUGCUCUAUGAAGCUUCAGGAUAAACUUUUUGGAUUGUAUUGUCAAGAAAAGUCAUUAUGAGGUUUCUUCCUUUGAAUUUGCCAAUGGUGCUAUCUUUUAAUAGAAUCAA